RNAcentral lists this ribosomal RNA (564 nucleotides) under uncultured eukaryote. RNAcentral describes it as "bacterial SSU rRNA". It matches the Rfam family "Bacterial small subunit ribosomal RNA", at positions 338 to 916 of the family's 1533-position model. The record is from RNAcentral.
CCUACGGGAGGCAGCAGUAGGGAAUUUUCCKCAAUGGGMGAMAGCCUGACGGAGCAAUACCGCGUGAGGGAUGACGGCCUGUGGGUUGUAAACCUCUUUUCUCAAGGAAGAAGUUCUGACGGUACUUGAGGAAUAAGCAUCGGCUAACUCUGUGCCAGCAGCCGCGGUAAUACAGAGGAUGCAAGCGUUAUCCGGAAUCACUGGGCAUAAAGCGUCUGUAGGUGGUUUGGUAAGUCUGCUGUUAAAGACUGGGGCUCAACCCCAGAAAAGCAGUGGAAACUGCUAGACUUGAGUGUGGUAGAGGUAGAGGGAAUUCCUAGUGUAGCGGUGAAAUGCGUAGAUAUUAGGAAGAACACCAAUGGCGAAGGCACUCUACUGGGCCAUAACUGACACUGAGAGACGACAGCUAGGGGAGCAAAUGGGAUUAGAUACCCCAAUAGUCCUAGCCGUAAACGAUGGAUACUAGAUGUUGCACGUAUUAACCCGUGCAGUAUCGUAGCUAAGGCGUUAAGUAUCCCGCCUGGGAAGUACGCUCGCAAGAGUGAAACUCAAAUGAAUUGACGG